This 306-nucleotide long non-coding RNA is filed under the name Gallus gallus (chicken). The record is from RNAcentral. Lineage: Eukaryota; Metazoa; Chordata; Aves; Galliformes; Phasianidae.
ACCCAGGAGGUCAGGGAGAUGCAUUACACUUACUAGAGAUGCUCUACGAGAACGUCUGCUCAUGGGCUGAUCAAACGGUGGGCUGUUAAUCUGUAACUUUUCAAGGUAGCCAUCGGGUAUCCUGAUAUCAGCAGGCAGGGACAAACGCUUGUUCAAAUCCUCCAUGGAGAUUCGUCUGUGUAUUCGGUUUCGGAGACAAACACCCGUGGGAGACUGAACUUCAUCAGAUGAUGUUCCAGAAGCUUGGUCACUUUCACCAUCUGACCCCAUUUUCAGAUUUUCAUGAACAAUAUCUAGUCUGCUCCC